RNAcentral lists this long non-coding RNA (286 nucleotides) under Parus major (Great Tit). RNAcentral describes it as "lncRNA (ENSPMJG00000012470.1)". The record is from RNAcentral. Lineage: Eukaryota; Metazoa; Chordata; Aves; Passeriformes; Paridae.
AGCAUUGAAGGACAUUGGAGAACAAGUCAGACACAAUUCCUGUGAAAGGUCCAUGGAAACUUGAGCUGCUGGAGUCACUUGUGACCAGAUGUGUUUGGGGACCAGAGUAAAAGGUGAAGUGAUACAAGGUUACACUGAAGGCUGCUUGAGAGGUCUUUGUUCUUGUGCUGGUUUCUUAUUUCUAAUUUUUUCUAUUUUUUCUGUCUUUAGGUUAGGAAACUUAAAUGAGAGAGGGACAACUUGCAUAACUGCACUCAAGGGGUUCCAAAUUCAAGAUAAAAUAUAA